UACGUAGGUGGCAAGCGUUGUCCGGAUUUACUGGGCGUAAAGAGCGCGCAGGCGGUUGAUUAAGUCGAAUGUGAAAGCCCCCGGCUCAACUGGGGAGGGUCAUUCGAUACUGAUCGACUUGAAGGCAGGAGAGGGUAGUGGAAUUCCCGGUGUAGUGGUGAAAUGCGUAGAUAUCGGGAGGAACACCAGUGGCGAAAGCGGCUCUCUGGUCCAAAACUGACGCUGAGGGGCGAAAGCGUGGGGAGCGAACGGG
RNAcentral lists this ribosomal RNA (253 nucleotides) under uncultured bacterium. RNAcentral describes it as "partial 16S ribosomal RNA". It matches the Rfam family "Bacterial small subunit ribosomal RNA", at positions 524 to 776 of the family's 1533-position model. The record is from RNAcentral.